GAAGAGCUUUAGUGACUGCUGGA
Molecule: non-coding RNA, 23 nt
Filed under: Arabidopsis thaliana (thale cress)
Lineage: Eukaryota; Viridiplantae; Streptophyta; Magnoliopsida; Brassicales; Brassicaceae
Source: RNAcentral